GCUGCUUCUCUGUGUUCACUGGGAGCUCCGCCUUUCUCAGCGCCCGUCUCCGGCUGAAUCCCCAGUGUCCUUCAUCUUAUCGGUGUUCGCCGGGAUCUGGAUUCACAUAAAUUAGGUAUUUCCCUAUCAUUUAUCCGAAUCGUUUCGUUAGGUAGGCUGUAAACUGAAAGAAAAUGUCUGAUUGGUCGGAACUUCAUCGUGAUCUUCUGGUUCUAGUUGUUAGGCAUAUUAAUUUGAUUGAAGAUUAUCUCAAUUUUGGUACUGUUUGCAAAUCCUGGCACUCUGUGGCCACCAAGGACAAUUUUAAUAGUGAAUUGGUUAGGGUUCCAUGGCUAAUGUUAGCUGAAGAAGAGGAUGAUGACACAUGUAGAAAAUUCUUCAGUCUAAGUAAUGGGAUGAUUUUAAAGAAGAGUAUUCCUGGAGCCAGGGGAAAACGGUGUGUGGAGUCUAUGGGAUGGCUUGUAACAGUCGGAAAAGAGGAGAGUGAAAUCAAUAUGUUACAUCCCUUUUCCGGUGUUAAAAUACAGUUGCCACAUCGAAUUCACAUCCCAUUGCCAUAUCCAGUUAAUAACGAUUAUUAUAGACUCAAUGACAAUUUUGUAUCAUGGGUUUCUAUCCAUAAAGCAGUUUUGUCAGCUAAUCCUUCUCAUACAUCUGACUACAUUCUCAUGAUCAUCGAGGGAGACUUCAGUUUCCUCUGUUUAUGGAGACCAGGUGAUUUAUCAUGGACCAGACUACCGGGCUACAAUGGACAAAUUACUGAUGUAGUAUGUUUCAAUGGCAACUUUUAUGCAAUCAAUUAUAAGGGUUGUAUCCUAGUUUGUGAUGUUGCUGGCUCUAAACCCGGUAAAAAUCAUAUGAUAGCGCAGCUAGAACCAUGUAUUGAUGGUAUUUAUUACAUCCUAGAAUCACUAGGAUCAUUAUUUGUAGCUGUGCAACAAUUUGUUUAUAUAAGGUACGUCACAGAUGAUCGCGGGCGGAUUCCAUUGACACACAUCCCAGGUGAAGAUGAUGAUGAGGAGAAUAUUUCCUACACUUACCGGACAAAAACAUUUCUAGUUUACAAGUUCGAUUUAGAUAAUUGCAAAGCUACGCAAACUAGGGAUUUAGGGGACAGAGCUUUUUUCCUGGGUCCUAAUGCUUCUCUUUCGGUUCAAGCUUCUCAAUUUCCGGGAAUCAAGCCCAAUCAUAUUUAUUUUACAGAUAAUUGUUUGAAUGCAUACCUCCAGUUUGAAGGAGGAGUCGGCUUGGACAUGGGGGUGUUCAACUUAGCAGAUGAAAGUAUCCAGCCACAUUAUGACGGUGUUUCCCUCAGUCGUGUUUGUCCUCCAAUUUGGGUCACACCAAAUCUGUGUUGAACAUCCAUUGAUCCAUCAAAUCCAGUUACAUCUGCUGAUGUUCAUAAGAUUGUUGAGAAUCUUGCCCAGAAGCGUAGGCCUAUGACUCAAGUUACUUUGGAUGUUCAAGAAUGUAACAGAAUUUCUACUACACAUCUAGUUGUAUCUGCAAUUGUUUCAUCGGGGAUUUUGGAUUCAUGGUGGAUUUUAGAUUUUCUGGUGGGGAACGAUGUGGAAGAGGAAGGUGAGCUUGUUUCAUGUGGUGGAUGACUCGUUGGCAUUGGCAAAGAAAGACAAUGGAAGCUUAAAUGGUGGAAACAACAUGACGCCUUUGAUCGACAAGUGGUACAAAAAGCCUUACUUCAGAGAUUCAAUGAGAUUUUGUAGAAGAAGAAGACUCUUCCUGUAUGGCAUCAAAAAGAGGAGUUCUUAAGCUGAUGAAUAUCCAAUCACCGGCAAUGCCGUCUCUAUCACCGGCUAUAGUCACCAGGGAAUUAACGGGGGGAAAUUGCUCAGCCGCAGAGGGUUGUUAAAACUCUAGACUUCAGAAUGGGAAGAGGUGCCUUCAAAGCAUCUAUUGUUUCUUUCUGUCCAUACACCAAAAAAUGCAAGCUGGGAUCAUCUUCCAUACUUUCCUGAUGGGUUUUCCGACCUUCCACGAGCUCCAACCAGUGCAUCUUUAAUGCUACUUGUCAUAGCCCAUUUUAGACCAAAAACUGAGAUGAACAUGUUCCAUAUGCCUGUGGCUGCUGUACAAUGCAGAAGGUGUCUGUUAGUCUCUAGGGCCUGGUGACACAUGAAGAAUCUGUUGACAAUGUGGAUUUUUCUCCUGAUGAUGUUGUCUUGGGUGAGGGAAGCUUCAUGAAGGGCUAGCCAGCUAAAACAAAUCACCUUGGGGGGUAACUUGGUUUUCCAGAUUAACUUCCAUGGCCAAUUAAUUAGCAUUUCAUUUUGAGCACAUAGUGAAAUAGUAUGCUGCCUUCACAGAAUAUUUACCAACUGCUUUAUCCCCCCAAAUGAGUCUGUCAGGUGAUUGAUUAUUGAUCUGGACAACUCCUAUUCUCUCCAGUAAGCUGAGAAUGUCUUGUAGUUCCCAAUCUUGGUAGUUCCUCCUGAAUUGAGGGAUCCAGGCAUUUGGAGAAGAGGAAGACUCUUCCGGUAUGGCAUCAAAAGAGUUCUCAAGCUGAUCAAUAUCCAAUCAUUGGCAACGCCGUCUCCGUCACCGGCUGUUGUCUCCAGCAUACGUGUCUUUCUUUGGUGGAUUUGGUAAUAAUUAUGUUGGAGUACAAAUUGGAGGACAAGAAUAUGUACGUGGGAGACUACUCGUUAUUGCUCAUUUAGCAGCGUCAUUUCUCUUAGAAUUGUUUGUUUUUUCGCGGCUGCUGAUAUGUUGAAGUCUUAAAUUUCAAUAGAUAACAGGGGAUGUAGCUCAAAUGGUAGAGCGCUCGCUUUGCAUGCGAGAGGUACGGGGUUCGAUCCCCCGCAUCUCCAUUAACUUUCGUUUUGUCUCUUCACGAGGUAGGGGUAAGGUCUGGGUACACUUUACCUUCUCUAGAUCCUAUUCAUGGAAUUUUACUGGAUAUGUACACAUGGGUCUCUUGUACUGGUAGAUAACAGUAUUAUGUCCCCUGUACCGUCCCAUCGCUUGGAUCUUGGAGCAGGUCUCUGCAGAUACUUCUCGUUCUGGUA
RNA transcript from Solanum dulcamara, 3026 nucleotides. It is a transcript of the gene named putative F-box protein At5g55150, with no coding region annotated. NCBI's taxonomy places the organism in Eukaryota, Viridiplantae, Streptophyta, Magnoliopsida, Solanales, Solanaceae. The record is from RefSeq and is a predicted model, not a curated record. The transcript has 5 exons.